Molecule: unclassified non-coding RNA, 713 nt
Filed under: Hevea brasiliensis (rubber tree)
Lineage: Eukaryota; Viridiplantae; Streptophyta; Magnoliopsida; Malpighiales; Euphorbiaceae
Source: RNAcentral
GUUGUUGCUCACUCAAAUGCUUCAUAUUGCUCUCAAAUUUUGUUUUAGGCAAAUCAGUGUCCAUCCAAUUGUCCUUUAAAUACCCAGCGCUCCACAACGAACUUCCAUGUUUUGGCUGAGCUGAUUUUCUUGGUUUCCAAACACAUAUUACUCUUUUCGGCAAUAACUCUGCUACUGUCUUGUUGAAAACAGAGUCGUCUUGGUGAAUAAGAAAUUCCCCCAAUUGAUUCUCUAAAUACUUGUCGAAUUCUGGUGGAUCAUCGUGCCCAAACUCUGUUCGGAUCUCAAGAAUUAUGAUCUCCGAUUGGGUCUCAGAUAAGAAGUUCUUCACAUCGUUGAUCACAACAUCAACGUUGUAAGAAACUAGAAUACCAUGACAGACACGACCAUCUUUUUGAACUCUGAUGUCAAGAACACGGGUGCCCAUUACCAGCUGAUCGUAAAUGGAGAGGGAUUGUGUUCGGGCAAAAGGUCGAGAAAUAAAUGGAAUCCCAAUUUUGUUAGUUGCUGAAUCAUGUGUACCAGGCCAAACGAUUUUAUUCACGUGAAGUUUAUCGAGAGCAAGUGUUGACAUCCAAUUUUUCCUAUCUUCUGGGCAAUGAUCACAACCAGGGAAAUCGGUGUUAUCUUUCUCCUUGAGAUCACAAAGAAGUUUCUUCUGAGUACUGAUUGCUCUUCUUCUUUCCAUCUGUUUAGAGAAAAAAGAACCCAUU